UACAGAGGGUGCGAGCGUUAAUCGGAAUUACUGGGCGUAAAGCGUGUGUAGGCGGCCACGUAAGUCGGAUGUGAAAGCCCUGGGCUCAACCCAGGAAGUGCACUCGAUACUGCGUGGCUCGAGUACUGGAGAGGUUGGUGGAAUUCUCGGUGUAGAGGUGAAAUUCGUAGAUAUCGAGAGGAACACCGGUGGCGAAGGCGGCCAACUGGACAGAUACUGACGCUGAGACACGAAAGCGUGGGGAGCAAACAGG
Molecule: ribosomal RNA, 253 nt
Filed under: uncultured bacterium
Lineage: Bacteria
Description: partial 16S ribosomal RNA
Rfam family: Bacterial small subunit ribosomal RNA
Source: RNAcentral